This is a long non-coding RNA of Bos taurus (domestic cattle), 1452 nucleotides long. NCBI's taxonomy places the organism in Eukaryota, Metazoa, Chordata, Mammalia, Artiodactyla, Bovidae. The record is from Ensembl.
GGCCUCCCAUCUCCGGGUCUGCGGCGGGCGCUCCCCCUCACCACAUCACCCCACCCUGCGGAGAGGCAAGCAGAGGGAGUUCGCCAAGGCUGAGACCGCGGGCGCGAGGGCCUCCGAAGGGACAGAGAAACCCUGGUCGUCCUGGACUCUUCCGUUCCUCCUGUCUUCCAAGUAGAAGACAAGAUGCCGUGAGCAGAUUCCCUGCGUGGACCACGGGCGUGGCCGCGACUCUGAUGUGGCUGGAAGCAAGAUCCAAUGCCUGAGGGUCCCUGGAUGGGCCCUCCUUUGCGAAACCGGCAUGCCAUCCCAGGGGUGCAGGGUGGAGGGGGGACCCCCUGCGAGGAUCCAGCCCAUCUCCCCAUCACCCGUCUUGCGAAGCCAUCACGAGGCGGUCAGGACCCACGAGCCGGUGUCAACCUUCCCCCGGGGCGGGGGGCCAUGCUGGCAUCUACAACCUCCAUCCAUCCCCCCGGGGUGGGGGCGUUCCCACCCAGCCCCGCCCACCUGGCCCGUGCCUCCUGGGGAGUUUCAUCCGCCUCGCCCCCGCGCGCAGUGAUAACUCUCCGGGUGGGGACCCUGCCGCCCAGCGGGGCCUCCCACGGGAAGGCUCUCCGCUUACUCCCGGCUUGACGCGUCCGGAGGACAAGCAGCUUCAGAUCGCACCAUCACCGUUUCCGGCAGGCGCCGCUGCGGUCCGACCCUCCUCACGUCUCAGAUGCAGCCCCGUUCGUCUUGACAAACGCGACGCGCGCCCGGAGCUCUUCGGCUUCGUCCCGUACGUGCAGGAGAAAGACGCCCAAGGGAUCCCAGCUGCUCUCCUUGCCGACGCUCCCCACUCUGAGGGGUUUAACCCGUCUGCCGCGAGAAGACACCCGGAUGGGGAAGAAAAGAGAGUGACCCUGGAAAAUACAAGAUGCUGGGGACUUUGCAACCGGGACAAGAGGGUUCUGGGACCUCCCCCAAAACGCACCCGGUAGCGUCGUCUCUCUCUGGGACUCUCAAGGAUGCCGCAGUGAUCUUUCCACGUUGCACCAUGGAUAAGACUUGUGGGAGCCCUUCCAGGCAGCCACGGAGGACUCCGGAGCAUUUAUUGUUAUUAUUUUUUUUCCUGUCUGCUCUGUUUAAACCGAGAGGGAUCCAGGUUGACGGUGGAGGUGGGCCCCCCGCCCUGGGGGGUGCGUGUGUGUCUGUGAAUGUCCCCGCCGAUGCCGACCCCCAGCCCCCACUGACCCGUUCUCAAGCUGCUGAUGAGCGUUUUCUACGUCUACCCCCCACCCACCCCCCGCCCCCCAAGCGCUCCGUCUUUCUGUCCCGCGGGUGUGGUCUGUGGCGCCUCUGUUUUAUCUCGUCUCGUGGCUUCUGCCUGCCCCCUGCGUGGAGACGGGCAAUAAAGAGAAAAGCUAUUCCAGACAUUAUGGCUAUUCCAGAAAAUAAAAUAUUUUUGAAACCGCA